AAUGGGGGAAACCCUGACGCAGCGACGCCGCGUGAGUGAUGAAGGCCUUCGGGUCGUAAAGCUCUGUUGUAAGGGAAAAAGUUCUGAUUGUACCUUGCGAGAAAGGAUCGGCUAACUUCGUGCCAGCAGCCGCGGUAAGACGAGGGAUCCUAGCGUUGUUCGGAAUCAUUGGGCGUAAAGCGGGUGUAGGUGGCUUUGUAAGUCAGAUGUGAAAGCCCAGGGCUCAACCCUGGAAGUGCAUUUGAUACUGCUUAGCUUGAGUGUGGGAGAGGCUACUGGAAUUCCUGGUGUAGUGGUGAAAUACGUAGAUAUCAGGAGGAAUACCGGAGGCGAAGGCGGGUAGCUGGCCCAACACUGACACUGAGACCCGAAAGCGUGGGGAUCAAA
This 387-nucleotide ribosomal RNA is filed under the name uncultured bacterium. RNAcentral's name for it is "bacterial SSU rRNA". It matches the Rfam family "Bacterial small subunit ribosomal RNA", at positions 370 to 772 of the family's 1533-position model. The record is from RNAcentral.